UCCCNGCUGUGCUUCUACCCACACCGGCC
RNAcentral lists this non-coding RNA (29 nucleotides) under Mus musculus (house mouse). Lineage: Eukaryota; Metazoa; Chordata; Mammalia; Rodentia; Muridae. The record is from RNAcentral.